RNAcentral lists this ribosomal RNA (1489 nucleotides) under Lactiplantibacillus plantarum. RNAcentral describes it as "bacterial SSU rRNA". It matches the Rfam family "Bacterial small subunit ribosomal RNA". The record is from RNAcentral. Lineage: Bacteria; Bacillati; Bacillota; Bacilli; Lactobacillales; Lactobacillaceae.
GACGAACGCUGGCGGCGUGCCUAAUACAUGCAAGUCGAACGAACUCUGGUAUUGAUUGGUGCUUGCAUCAUGAUUUACAUUUGAGUGAGUGGCGAACUGGUGAGUAACACGUGGGAAAUCUGCCCAGAAGCGGGGGAUAACACCUGGAAACAGAUGCUAAUACCGCAUAACAACUUGGACCGCAUGGUCCGAGUUUGAAAGAUGGCUUCGGCUAUCACUUUUGGAUGGUCCCGCGGCGUAUUAGCUAGAUGGUGGGGUAACGGCUCACCAUGGCAAUGAUACGUAGCCGACCUGAGAGGGUAAUCGGCCACAUUGGGACUGAGACACGGCCCAAACUCCUACGGGAGGCAGCAGUAGGGAAUCUUCCACAAUGGACGAAAGUCUGAUGGAGCAACGCCGCGUGAGUGAAGAAGGGUUUCGGCUCGUAAAACUCUGUUGUUAAAGAAGAACAUAUCUGAGAGUAACUGUUCAGGUAUUGACGGUAUUUAACCAGAAAGCCACGGCUAACUACGUGCCAGCAGCCGCGGUAAUACGUAGGUGGCAAGCGUUGUCCGGAUUUAUUGGGCGUAAAGCGAGCGCAGGCGGUUUUUUAAGUCUGAUGUGAAAGCCUUCGGCUCAACCGAAGAAGUGCAUCGGAAACUGGGAAACUUGAGUGCAGAAGAGGACAGUGGAACUCCAUGUGUAGCGGUGAAAUGCGUAGAUAUAUGGAAGAACACCAGUGGCGAAGGCGGCUGUCUGGUCUGUAACUGACGCUGAGGCUCGAAAGUAUGGGUAGCAAACAGGAUUAGAUACCCUGGUAGUCCAUACCGUAAACGAUGAAUGCUAAGUGUUGGAGGGUUUCCGCCCUUCAGUGCUGCAGCUAACGCAUUAAGCAUUCCGCCUGGGGAGUACGGCCGCAAGGCUGAAACUCAAAGGAAUUGACGGGGGCCCGCACAAGCGGUGGAGCAUGUGGUUUAAUUCGAAGCUACGCGAAGAACCUUACCAGGUCUUGACAUACUAUGCAAAUCUAAGAGAUUAGACGUUCCCUUCGGGGACAUGGAUACAGGUGGUGCAUGGUUGUCGUCAGCUCGUGUCGUGAGAUGUUGGGUUAAGUCCCGCAACGAGCGCAACCCUUAUUAUCAGUUGCCAGCAUUAAGUUGGGCACUCUGGUGAGACUGCCGGUGACAAACCGGAGGAAGGUGGGGAUGACGUCAAAUCAUCAUGCCCCUUAUGACCUGGGCUACACACGUGCUACAAUGGAUGGUACAACGAGUUGCGAACUCGCGAGAGUAAGCUAAUCUCUUAAAGCCAUUCUCAGUUCGGAUUGUAGGCUGCAACUCGCCUACAUGAAGUCGGAAUCGCUAGUAAUCGCGGAUCAGCAUGCCGCGGUGAAUACGUUCCCGGGCCUUGUACACACCGCCCGUCACACCAUGAGAGUUUGUAACACCCAAAGUCGGUGGGGUAACCUUUUAGGAACCAGCCGCCUAAGGUGGGACAGAUGAUUAGGGUG